This 1433-nucleotide ribosomal RNA is filed under the name uncultured organism. Its description in RNAcentral is "16S ribosomal RNA". It matches the Rfam family "Bacterial small subunit ribosomal RNA". The record is from RNAcentral.
GCGGCGUGCUUAACACAUGCAAGUCGAACGGAAAGGCCCUGCUUUUGUGGGGUGCUCGAGUGGCGAACGGGUGAGUAACACGUGAGUAACCUGCCCUUGACUUUGGGAUAACUUCAGGAAACUGGGGCUAAUACCGGAUAGGAGCUCCUGCUGCAUGGUGGGGGUUGGAAAGUUUCGGCGGUUGGGGAUGGACUCGCGGCUUAUCAGCUUGUUGGUGGGGUAGUGGCUUACCAAGGCUUUGACGGGUAGCCGGCCUGAGAGGGUGACCGGCCACAUUGGGACUGAGAUACGGCCCAGACUCCUACGGGAGGCAGCAGUGGGGAAUAUUGCACAAUGGGCGGAAGCCUGAUGCAGCAACGCCGCGUGCGGGAUGACGGCCUUCGGGUUGUAAACCGCUUUCGCCUGUGACGAAGCGUGAGUGACGGUAAUGGGUAAAGAAGCACCGGCUAACUACGUGCCAGCAGCCGCGGUGAUACGUAGGGUGCGAGCGUUGUCCGGAUUUAUUGGGCGUAAAGGGCUCGUAGGUGGUUGAUCGCGUCGGAAGUGUAAUCUUGGGGCUUAACCCUGAGCGUGCUUUCGAUACGGGUUGACUUGAGGAAGGUAGGGGAGAAUGGAAUUCCUGGUGGAGCGGUGGAAUGCGCAGAUAUCAGGAGGAACACCAGUGGCGAAGGCGGUUCUCUGGGCCUUUCCUGACGCUGAGGAGCGAAAGCGUGGGGAGCGAACAGGCUUAGAUACCCUGGUAGUCCACGCUGUAAACGGUGGGUACUAGGUGUGGGGUCCAUUCCACGGGUUCCGUGCCGUAGCUAACGCUUUAAGUACCCCGCCUGGGGAGUACGGCCGCAAGGCUAAAACUCAAAGGAAUUGACGGGGCCCCGCACAAGCGGCGGAGCAUGCGGAUUAAUUCGAUGCAACGCGUAGAACCUUACCUGGGUUUGACAUGGAUCGGGAGUGCUCAGAGAUGGGUGUGCCUCUUUUGGGGUCGGUUCACAGGUGGUGCAUGGCUGUCGUCAGCUCGUGUCGUGAGAUGUUGGGUUAAGUCCCGCAACGAGCGCAACCCUUGUUCACUGUUGCCAGCACGUUAUGGUGGGGACUCAGUGGAGACCGCCGGGGUCAACUCGGAGGAAGGUGGGGAUGACGUCAAGUCAUCACGCCCCUUAUGUCCAGGGCUUCACGCAUGCUACAAUGGCUGGUACAGAGAGUGGCGAGCCUGUGAGGGUGAGCGAAUCUCGGAAAGCCGGUCUCAGUUCGGAUUGGGGUCUGCAACUCGACCUCAUGAAGUCGGAGUCGCUAGUAAUCGCAGAUCAGCAACGCUGCGGUGAAUACGUUCCCGGGGCUUGUACACACCGCCCGUCAAGUCAUGAAAGUUGGUAACACCCGAAGCCGGUGGCCUAACCGUUGUGGGGGAGCCGUCGAAGGUGGGACUGGUGAUUAGG